AUUGAACGCUGGCGGCAUGCCUUACACAUGCAAGUCGAACGGUAACAGGUCUUCGGACGCUGACGAGUGGCGAACGGGUGAGUAAUACAUCGGAACGUGCCCGAUCGUGGGGGAUAACGAGGCGAAAGCUUUGCUAAUACCGCAUACGAUCUACGGAUGAAAGCGGGGGAUCUUCGGACCUCGCGCGGACGGAGCGGCCGAUGGCAGAUUAGGUAGUUGGUGGGAUAAAAGCUUACCAAGCCGACGAUCUGUAGCUGGUCUGAGAGGAUGAUCAGCCACACUGGGACUGAGACACGGCCCAGACUCCUACGGGAGGCAGCAGUGGGGAAUUUGGGACAAUGGGCGAAAGCCUGAUCCAGCCAUGCCGCGUGCAGGAUGAAGGCCUUCGGGUUGUAAACUGCUUUUGUACGGAACGAAAAGCCUCUUUCUAAUAAAGAGGGGUCAUGACGGUACCGUAAGAAUAAGCACCGGCUAACUACGU
This 481-nucleotide ribosomal RNA is filed under the name uncultured bacterium. Its description in RNAcentral is "partial 16S ribosomal RNA". It matches the Rfam family "Bacterial small subunit ribosomal RNA", at positions 30 to 506 of the family's 1533-position model. The record is from RNAcentral.